GACGAACGCUGGCGGCGUGCUUAACACAUGCAAGUCGAACGGAAAGGCCCUGCUUUUGUGGGGUGCUCGAGUGGCGAACGGGUGAGUAACACGUGAGUAACCUGCCCUUGACUUUGGGAUAACUUCAGGAAACUGGGGCUAAUACCGGAUAGGAGCUCCUGCUGCAUGGUGGGGGUUGGAAAGUUUCGGCGGUUGGGGAUGGACUCGCGGCUUAUCAGCUUGUUGGUGGGGUAGUGGCUUACCAAGGCUUUGACGGGUAGCCGGCCUGAGAGGGUGACCGGCCAAAUUGGGACUGAGAUACGGCCAAGACUCCUACGGGAGGAAGCAGUGGGGAAUAUUGCACAAUGGGCGGAAGCCUGAUGCAGCAACGCCGCGUGCGGGAUGACGGCCUUCGGGUUGUAAACCGCUUUCGCCUGUGACGAAGCGUGAGUGACGGUAAUGGGUAAAGAAGCACCGGCUAACUACGUG
RNAcentral lists this ribosomal RNA (468 nucleotides) under uncultured bacterium. RNAcentral's name for it is "partial 16S ribosomal RNA". It matches the Rfam family "Bacterial small subunit ribosomal RNA", at positions 28 to 507 of the family's 1533-position model. The record is from RNAcentral.